AGGAUAAUAGUUAACCAUAACAUUUAAUUUGCACUUAAAAAGUAUUGAUAUUCCCGUCAAUUUAUCUUA
Molecule: transfer RNA, 69 nt
Filed under: Dorcus hirticornis
Lineage: Eukaryota; Metazoa; Arthropoda; Insecta; Coleoptera; Lucanidae
Description: tRNA-Ala
Source: RNAcentral